UCUACAACCUGUCAUUCCUGUCCUCAAGAAUAUCUAAUGCAUACUUCCGUUGUGAGAUCACAAUAUCUGAGCUAGACUGAGCGACCUCAAUACCCAGAAAAUACUUUAGUGCCCAGAUCCUUAGUCUGAAAGUGUUGAAAGAGAUGUUGCUUCAAUUUAGUAAUACCAUCCUGGUCAUUGCCGGUAAUAACGAUGUCGUCAACAUAG
This 207-nucleotide long non-coding RNA is filed under the name Nicotiana benthamiana. RNAcentral describes it as "long non-coding RNA (NBEN_LNC019494)". The record is from RNAcentral. Lineage: Eukaryota; Viridiplantae; Streptophyta; Magnoliopsida; Solanales; Solanaceae.